GAUGAACGCUGGCGGCGUGCCUAAUACAUGCAAGUCGAGCGAACAGACGUGGAACUUGCUCCGCUGACGUUAGCGGCGGACGGGUGAGUAACACGUGGGUAACCUACCUAUAAGACUGGGACAACAUCGGGAAACGGGAGCUAAUACCGGAUAAUAUAUUGAACCGCAUGGUUCAAUAGUGAAAGACGGAUUUGCAUUCCUUAAUAGUUGUCUCCGCGCUGCAUUAUCUAGUUGUUAAGGUAACGGUGCACCAAGGGAACGUAUCUUACCCACCCUUAGAGGUUGACCGGCGACACUGGAAUUGGGCCACGGCCCAGACGCCUACGGAAGGCAGCGUUAGGGAACCUUCGGCAUUGGUCGAAAGCUGGACGAAGAAACGCAGCGUGGUGGAUGAGGGUCUUCGGAUGUUAAACCUUUAUUAUUAAGAAAGAACAAGUGGGUAAGUGACUGUGCACGUAUUGACGGUACCUAAUCAGAAAGCCACGGCUAACUACGUG
This 497-nucleotide ribosomal RNA is filed under the name uncultured bacterium. Its description in RNAcentral is "partial 16S ribosomal RNA". It matches the Rfam family "Bacterial small subunit ribosomal RNA", at positions 28 to 507 of the family's 1533-position model. The record is from RNAcentral.